Molecule: ribosomal RNA, 155 nt
Filed under: uncultured bacterium
Lineage: Bacteria
Description: partial 16S ribosomal RNA
Rfam family: Bacterial small subunit ribosomal RNA
Source: RNAcentral
UGAGGAAUAUUGGUCAAUGGAGGCAACUCUGAACCAGCCAUGCCGCGUGCAGGAUGACGGUCCUAUGGAUUGUAAACUGCUUUUAUACGGGAAGAAAACGAGUUACGUGUGACUAACUGACGGUACCGUAAGAAUAAGGAUCGGCUAACUCCGUG